UCUCUCCGGGGGACCCGUUUCCGGUGGCGGAAAGGCGGGAAUCACCCGUCUGUGGCUCCGGGGAAAAGGCCCCGCUCGCCGCCGCCGCCACCGCCACUAACACAGACGCGGGGUGAAAGGCCAGCUACACCUCUCUUAGUAAGCGAGGAGGUCGCGAAACCUCACACGAGUUCGCCAUUUGUGCUCGGGGAGAGUUAAAGCUGAGGGAACUGAGCAGGUCCCAUCGUAAAACCCCUCCGGCUGGGGAUAUGGCAAAAUUUCCAUCAUUGGAAUAAUGGCAGUGAAUGUGUUCCCUCCCCUGACGGAUAUUCCCGGCUCCGACCCUCUUGGCCAAGCUUCUCCUCUGUCCUGCUCGCUACAGGAGGAAGUGUGUUCCAGAAAGGCGGGUUGGAGAGGAUUUACGCCCUGGGUGAAAGGCAAGAAGAAAAAAAAAACUCAACAGGGUAAACUAACGUGGGUUUGAUGCUCUGACGACGCUGUGCGAAGACUGAUACUGCUGACAGCUGGUGGGCACAGCCCAUCUUCCGGAGUCCCCAGUGCAAGGACACGCUGUUGAGUCGGGAUGAUCCACUGGGAGGACCUCGUGUUGUCUCUGCCAGAGGGACGUAAAGGGCAACAGCUGUAGGGAGCCAUCACUCAGCUUACGGGCAUCAGUAUUUAAUCAGGAGGCAAGGAGAUGGAAAAGCGAUUGGACACCAGCGGGGAUUCGCGGUGGAGAGGUGUCAAGCGGAAAUCAGAUGAUACUUCGGAGGGGCAGCGACAGGGCGGGGGGAAGCUCUACCCCUCGCGCAAGAACACGGGUGACACACGUGCCCACUCUCUGCCCGUUUUGCCGGUCCAUUAUGACCUGAAGUUUCCCGACUACAGGCAGCCGGUGGAGAUUGGCUGCUUCUCGCUGGACUCCCACCGGCAGCUCUUUAACGACGACAGGCAGCUGAGGUUCUGCAGAAUGCCCCCGGACAAGAAGCCACGCUUCAACCUGCGAGACGGAUUCAAAGACAGAUACAUAAAGCGCAACGACAGCGUAAAGGAAAAGUUGGACCACGUCCUGAAGUGGAUUUUGCUCAACAGACAGAAGUUCCCCACGCUGGCCGGAGACAGGGGCUCCCCUGCCGUGACAAAUCAGCUGCACACGGACUUUAUCACGUGGAGAGGGCACCUGACAAAGAUCCUCACCACCCCUUAUGAGAACAGAGAGGGCUGGCUGAUGGCCGUGACGCUUUUUAAUGGCACCUAUUACAUGAGUGAGGUGGAGACUGAGGAGGCCAGGUGCCAGAGGGAGCAGAGGACUGAGCAGCAGCAAGAGCUGAUGUACGGAGGAUAUAAGUUUGAGCAGUACCUGUGUGCAGAUAAAGCGGAAGGGAGCCCGGAUCCGUCCGGAGUGGUGAACACCAACGAGGCGUUCUGCUGCGUGGUCCGAACCCGACUGGACGGCCACUCCCUCGUGUUCUCGGGCGAGGUGGAUUGCAAGGACAACUCGGAUCCGCGGCUAAAGCCCCCUCAGUGCUACGUGGAGCUGAAGACCAGCCGAGAGACCUACAGUCCUAACCAGGAGAAGAACUUCCUCAGAUUUAAACUGAUCAAAUGGUGGGCACAGUCCUUCUUGCCAGGAGUUCCUCAAAUCGUUGCGGGAUUUCGGGAUGACAGUGGCACGGUGGUCUCACUUCAGACCUUCGAAACAAUGAAGAUUCAUCACUUGGUCAAGAACGAGCGGGGUUGCUGGAAGCCGGCCGUCUGCCUGAACUUCUGCAACGCCUUCCUGUCCUUCGUAAAGCAAGUGGUGACCCUCGACAAUCACCGGAUGGUGACCCUUUUCUCCUGGGAGCCUGGAAAAGAUAUUUCAUACACAUUGCACUCAGACGGUGCGUUUGGCUUUCUCCCAGGCUGGUACGUGGGGAGUGUGUUUGGACAUUCGGGGACUUUGGGUACUGCAGGUGAGAAAGUCCCUGACAUCUGACUCGCUAUCGAAAGGAACUUGUUGCUGGAUCUGCCGCUGCUGGCGAUUUUACAUUUCUGUGUAAGGUGAUGCUUUAAUGUAAAUAACACAAAGUGCUGGAGGAACUCAGCCAUGACAGUAUCUAUGGAGGGAAGUUUGAAGACAGUAGUUUGAAGGCAGCACCAUGAAGAUGCAGCACCAUUUCGCCUUCACACUGGCAGCCAUCUCGUUCUCCAGCUGCUAAAAAUGGUCACCGCCACAUUUGGCAUCGAUGAAAGACAUUGUUCACAUCUGGCGACUGAACAGAUCGUACGUGCAGAUCCAAGCAAUGUGGGUCGGGCAGCGUGAAGUCAAGAAACACGCAGAUUCAGCAAAUGCUGCCUAACCCGCUGAGUUCCUCCAGCAAUUUGUGUUUUGCUCAAGAUUCCAGCAUCUGCAGUUCCUCAUGCCUUCUGGAGUAGAUUCACUUGUUUUAGACAAUAGAUGCACGAGUAGGCCAUUCGGCCCUUUGAGCCAGCACCGCCAUUUAAUGUGAUCAUGGCUGAUCAUCCACAAUCAGUGCCCCCGUUCCUACCCUCUCCCCAUAUCCCUUGACUCCGCUAUCUUUAAGAGCUCUGUCUAGCGCUCUCUCGCGAAAGCAUCCAGAGAACCAGCCCCCACUGCCCUCUUCUUCUUUUGUGUCGCGUGCACAGCCUAAAGUUGUUGAACAACUUGUUCUAUUUGAUCUUCCAUUUGUGCACGUCGAGUUGAUUGCAUUAGUCGAAACAGGGCGGACCAAGUGAAGGUUGCAAUCUUCCACCCCACUGCCCUCUGAGACAGAGAAUUUCCCAAAUGCAAAACAAGAUACUCCUUUAUCAUCACUGUGGGACUGGGGUGACCCUGCAUAUAUUUCUGGCACAGGACGAUCAAAGAGGAAGGAAAUUAUAGAUUUUAAUAGCUGACAACCAAUUCAUUUGGUAAAAUGUCUCAACGAAAACUCAGUCAAAGUACUGAGAUAUAAUUUAGUUUACAGCGCAGGAUCAGGCGGUCCACCGAGUUUACGUUGACCAGUUAUACCACUAACACUAUCCUACACACAAAGGACAAUUUACAGAAGCCAAUUAACCUACAAACCUGCACGUCUUUGGGGUGUGGAAGGAAACUGGAGCACCGAGAGAAAACCCACGCGAUCACAGGGAGAACAUACAAGCUUCAGACAGACAGCCCCCAUAGUCAGGAUUGAACCCGGCACACGGGUAAAGCAGCAACCAGCAACAACCACUGCGCCACCGUGCUGCUCUUUGGACACAGAAGAAACUGCGGAUGCUGCAUUAUUUGUGACUGAGAUUGUAUGGAUAUUUAAGAUUGUUCCUCACGUGACAAUAAUAAACCUAUAUUUAAUCAUGUAA
Leucoraja erinaceus (little skate) is the source of this 3324-nucleotide RNA transcript. It is a transcript of the gene named decapping exoribonuclease, with no coding region annotated. Lineage: Eukaryota; Metazoa; Chordata; Chondrichthyes; Rajiformes; Rajidae. The record is from RefSeq and is a predicted model, not a curated record. The transcript has 9 exons.